AUGACUUGCAGCAUCGCGUGUCACAGCACCAGGAUUUGCUGGGUUCGAGGCUCCUAUAACGCAGACUGUACCGACAGGGACAGACCUAACAACUAAAAUAUUUUUAAAAGCUUUUUGCCAGAGAGAGCAAGAAAAAGGUGGAAUGGACGCACCUCCGAUUUACAUGAAGGAAGGUAUUCGACACAUACAGAUGGUGAUUAAUUUAACAGCCUAACAGUACAAUCAGU
Molecule: long non-coding RNA, 227 nt
Organism: Brienomyrus brachyistius
Lineage: Eukaryota; Metazoa; Chordata; Actinopteri; Osteoglossiformes; Mormyridae
Exons: 2
Source: RefSeq, a predicted model, not a curated record